GGAGGAAUGUAUAUCGACUCUGUCGAAUAAAGUUCUAGUUAAGUUAUGAUAAUGACAUUUCUUAACUAUGUGUCUUGACCAAAUCACGUGCCAGCAGUCGCGGUAAUACGUGGAAGACUAGUGUUAUUCAUCUUUAACAGGUUUAAAGGGUACCUAGACGGUAAAUCAAGCCCCAAAAGGGUACUAAUCUACUAGAGUUUAAUAAGAGAGGGGGAGUACUGAUGAGUGGAAAGAUGAAAUUUGUUGAUACCAUUAGGAACAGACAAAGGCGAAAGCGACCUUUUACAUAAAAACUGACGUUGAGGGACGAAGGCUUUAGUCGUGAACAGGAUUAGAUACCCAAGUAAUUAAAGCAGACAAUGAUGAAUGUCAUAGAUUAGUAACGAGAAUUUAUAAUUGACCCAGCGCUAAGUUAAUUUAUUCAUGUAUUCAUACAUACAUGAAUCCAUAGAUUAAUCCAUAGUAAUAAUUUACGAUUAAUCUAUAGUAAUAGUUUACUAUUAAUCUAUAAAUGAAAGUGUAAGCAUUCCACCUCAAGAGUAAUGUGGCAACGCAGAAACUGAAAUCAUUAGACCGUUUCUGAAACCAGUAGUGAAGUAUGUUGUUUAAUUAGAUAAUCCGCAAAAGACCUCACCACAAUUUGUAUAUUAUUAUUUUUUAAUAUUACAAGCGUUGCACGGCUGUCUUCAGUUAAUGUCGUGAGAUUAGGUUAGUUCCAUUAAAUUAACGUAAACCCUUUCUUUAUUUAUAUUAUAAAGUAGAUCACCGCUAUAUUGGAUAUGAUAAAAGGGACUAAGACAAGUCAUCAUGGCCUGAAUAUUGUGGGCGAUAGACGUGCCACAUAAUCGGAGACAAAGGGAUGCGAAAUUGUGAAAUAAAGCUA
RNAcentral lists this ribosomal RNA (883 nucleotides) under Pertusaria lecanina. RNAcentral's name for it is "SSU rRNA". It matches the Rfam family "Bacterial small subunit ribosomal RNA", at positions 417 to 1270 of the family's 1533-position model. The record is from RNAcentral. Lineage: Eukaryota; Fungi; Ascomycota; Lecanoromycetes; Pertusariales; Pertusariaceae.